Long non-coding RNA from Chinchilla lanigera (long-tailed chinchilla), 1586 nucleotides. NCBI's taxonomy places the organism in Eukaryota, Metazoa, Chordata, Mammalia, Rodentia, Chinchillidae. The record is from Ensembl.
UGGGAACAGGGACCUGCUCAGAGUGGCUUGGGCAUACUUCCUUACUCUCCUGCCUACAAGGAGCCUGCAGAAUCCUUUCCUCUUCCUUGGGGACAAAGUCUGCCACUGCACAAGAAACACCUGCAGUUCUAAGUGCUGGAAGCCCAGCGAUGGCUCUAGAUUCUCGCUAUGCCUGCCAACCCAGCCUUCUCAGCAACGUGGCCACCUGCACUGUCUGCUCCCAUAGCAAGAGCUGCUGUGUGACUCGGGGAGCACAGAGUGGCCCAGCUGCGCUGGGGCGUGAGAGUGCUGCAGGACAAGGAGGUGGCAUUAGGGAAGUGCUGGAGGCACCCAGAAAACAGAAGUUAGCAGGGCGUGGGCUGCAGGCUAAGGUCGGCAGUGGUGGAGACAGCAGCUACCUGAGUAAGUUGGUCUGCCUUCAAGCCUGCUUUGCCAUCAAUUUCCUUCUUGUUCAACAACUCUCAGGUGCUUUAAAAGCCUUCUGUCUCUGCUCCCUUGUUAUGGUUGGUGGGAGGUAGAGAAAACCCAGGCUUCAGGGACUUGCUUCAUUCGUAUACAGAAGAUUGGCCUCAGAGCCCAGGGCCACAGAUCAGAAGUCCUGGCUGUCAGACACCUACCCUAUGGAGGAAUUGAGCUGAGGUUGUAGAGAUGAAUGACACACAGUUCCUGCUUCACAGACCCUAUUUUCCAGUAGGGCAGACAAAGGAGGAAGCAGAGGACCUGUAUGAGUGAUGGCGAACCUUUUAGAGCUUUUGAGGAUAACAGACAACGUGCUGCAGCAUGUGUGCCAUAGGUUUGCCACCACUAGGCUCUGUGUCAUUGGCAUGAGCCACUUCAGACUUUGGGCACCAGUGCACCCAUACUUUAAAAUCUAGUUGCCCAAGAUCUCCCAUUUGAGUGCUCACUGAUGCUGGUGGCACACUUGCUGCAGAUGUGGUUGGCAUCUCCCACAUGCCAAAUGUAGAGAAAGCUGCGUCCUGGUGGCCUAGCAUUGCUAGGACUUGCUGUGUCUUCUUGCAGUCCGGUGCCCUGCCUACACGUUCUCCCCCUCUGACGCUAAGGCCCCUGCCAGACCACAGUGGGUCUCUGAGGCCCUCAAGCCUUCAGUACUCGAGGGUCUAACUCACAGGCCGAGCCAUUAUUAUUGAAAGUACCCAUACUGUCCAAGGGUCUCUGAACCCGGAGGAACUUGUGCAUCGUGCAUAUGGUUUGCCAUUUGCCUCAACCAUCAUUUCCCAGAAAGCCAGCCCUUUUCUCAGUGACCUGGUGGGGCUGGGUUACUCAUCCGGACACCCUCUUUCCUCUUCUAUUAUUUUAUGGGCCUGGGCUUUACACAAGGUAAGUCUAGCAACAGAUUCCCUGACUUUGGGUCCUGGGAAGCGGAGGUUAGGUCAUGCAUCUCUUCCCUCCCCAAAGGCUCUGGGCUUGUCAUAUAAGUGGGCCUUAAGCCCUAACAACCAAAAGGUAAGGCAGAUUUUCCUAAACCUCUUAAACGUACAAUAUACAAAAAACCAAAGAAAACUCAAAGUGCAGGUUUUGUUACAUCUUGAUCCCCUCAACCAUGCGCUCCUAGCAGCAUCUUUGCC